GAGGAGAAAGAGAGAGGGAGAGAGGGAGAGAGAGAGAGAGAGAUGGAGAGAGAUGUGCUUCUGUAAAACUGGACCCCGCGCAUACCAAGACAAGUACUGUUUUUGUUGUCUCUUGCCAAUAAAACUGAUU
Amblyraja radiata (thorny skate) is the source of this 130-nucleotide long non-coding RNA. RefSeq lists it as uncharacterized. Lineage: Eukaryota; Metazoa; Chordata; Chondrichthyes; Rajiformes; Rajidae. The transcript is spliced from 3 exons. The record is from RefSeq and is a predicted model, not a curated record.